UGGUGUGAAGGCGAUCUGAUUGCAGUAUCUGUCACCUCACUGAUGGCCAAGGUUGAUUCAGCUGAUCUGGCUGGCUAGGCAGGUGACCCUUCCUUCCUCGCCUCUCCAUAUGUGUCCCUCCUGAAGCCACACACUUGGUCAAAAAGGACGACCAUCUACGAUAGAGGAGGACUGGUCUUUUUGGGUCAAGGGUAUACAAGUAGCUGUGCUCCCCUGCUAGAACCUCCAAACAAGCUCUCAAAGUAAUUAUGGCUGAAUUGCUUGGUUUCAAGUUAAUUUUAGUAGAAGGACAAUCUGAAUAUAACCACUUAUACACCUUA
This 320-nucleotide small nuclear RNA is filed under the name Callithrix jacchus (white-tufted-ear marmoset). RNAcentral describes it as "7SK RNA". It matches the Rfam family "7SK RNA". From Rfam's summary of the family: 7SK was discovered as an abundant small nuclear RNA in the mid-70s but a possible function has only recently been suggested. Two independent studies have found that 7SK RNA binds the CDK9/cyclin T complex (known as elongation factor P-TEFb). Lineage: Eukaryota; Metazoa; Chordata; Mammalia; Primates; Cebidae. The record is from Rfam by way of RNAcentral.